GAUGAAGAACGUAGCGAAAUGCGAUACUUGGUGUGAAUUGCAGAAUCCCGUGAACCAUCGAGUCUUUGAACGCAAGUUGCGCCCGAAGCCAUUAGGCCGAGGUCACGCCUGCCUGGGCGUCACACGUCGUUGCCCCCCCAUCUACUCCUUCGGGAUUGCGGGGGGCGGAUGAUGGCCUCCCGUGCGCCUCGUCGCGCGGUUGGCAUAAAUGCCAAGUCCUCGGCGACGCACGCCACGACAAUCGGUGGUUGCGAAACCUCGGUUGCCCGUCGUGUGCGGUCAUCGCGCAUCGAGGGCUCGAAAAAAUUGCCGGGCUCCGGCUCGGCUUUCAACGCGACCCCAGGUCAGGCGGGGUUACCCGCUGAAUUUAAGCAUAUCAAUAAGCGGAGGA
This 391-nucleotide unclassified non-coding RNA is filed under the name soil metagenome. Its description in RNAcentral is "partial contains 5.8S ribosomal RNA, internal transcribed spacer 2, and large subunit ribosomal RNA". The stretch from base 1 to 122 matches the Rfam family "5.8S ribosomal RNA", at positions 35 to 154 of the family's 154-position model. The record is from RNAcentral.